ACGCGAAGAACCUUACCUGGACUCGAAAUUUUGUCGACCGUCUCAGAGAUGAGGCUUUCCCGCAAGGGACGGCAGAAUAGGUGCUGCAUGGCUGUCGUCAGCUCGUGUCGUGAGAUGUUGGGUUAAGUCCCGCAACGAGCGCAACCCUUACCCUUAGUUGCUAAUCCGCAAGGAAAGCACCCUAAGGGAACUGCCUGGGAUAACCAGGAGGAAGGUGGGGAUGACGUCAAGUCCUCAUGGCCUUUAUGCCCAGGGCUACACACGUGCUACAAUGGCCGGUACAAAACGUCGCAAACCCGCGAGGGGGAGCCAAUCGCCAAAAACCGGUCUCAGUUCGGAUUGCAGGCUGCAACUCGCCUGCAUGAAGCUGGAAUCGCUAGUAAUCGCGUAUCAGAACGACGCGGUGAAUACGUUCCCGGGCCUUGUA
Molecule: ribosomal RNA, 427 nt
Filed under: uncultured Acidobacterium sp.
Lineage: Bacteria; Pseudomonadati; Acidobacteriota; Terriglobia; Terriglobales; Acidobacteriaceae
Description: bacterial SSU rRNA
Rfam family: Bacterial small subunit ribosomal RNA
Source: RNAcentral